GUCUUUUUGAAUAUAAUUUAAAGUCUGACCUGCCCAAUGAUUAAAUUUAAUGGCCGCAGUAUUUUGACUGUGCAAAGGUAGCAUAAUCAUUAGUUUUUUAAUUGAAAGCUGGUAUGAAUGGUUUGAUAAGAAAAAAGCUGUCUCAUUUUUAAUAUUAUAGAAUUUUAUUUUUAAGUUAAAAAGCUUAAAUUUUUUAAAAAGACGAGAAGACCCUAUAGAGUUUAAUUUAUAAAGAUAUUUUAAAUUUUAAGUUUUAAAUUUUUUUAAUAUUAGUUUAAAUUUUAUUGGGGUGAUAAAAAAAUUUAAUAAACUUUUUUUAAUAUAAAUAUUUAUUAAUAAAUAAUUGAUCUUAAUUUUUAGAUUAAAAGAAAAAAUUACCUUAGGGAUAACAGCGUAAUUUUUUUAAAGAGUUCAAAUCGAAAAAAAAGAUUGCGACCUCGAUGUUGGAUUAAAAUUAAAGUUUGGUGUAGAAGCUAAAAUUUUUAGGUCUGUUCGACCUUUAAAAUUUUACA
This 512-nucleotide ribosomal RNA is filed under the name Serrotibia sp. CO1009. RNAcentral's name for it is "partial 16S ribosomal RNA". The stretch from base 385 to 512 matches the Rfam family "Bacterial large subunit ribosomal RNA", at positions 2473 to 2600 of the family's 2925-position model. The record is from RNAcentral. Lineage: Eukaryota; Metazoa; Arthropoda; Insecta; Coleoptera; Salpingidae.